Molecule: ribosomal RNA, 586 nt
Filed under: Candidatus Mycoplasma haematominutum
Lineage: Bacteria; Bacillati; Mycoplasmatota; Mollicutes; Mycoplasmatales; Mycoplasmataceae
Description: bacterial SSU rRNA
Rfam family: Bacterial small subunit ribosomal RNA
Source: RNAcentral
GUAUGUUGCCUGUGCGACGAAGUCUCGAUGGAGCAAUACGCAUGUGAACGAUGAAGGUCUUCUGAUUGUAAAGUUCUUUUAUUUAGGAAAAAAAGCUUGAUAGGAAAUGAUUAAGCCUUGAUUGUACUAAAUGAAUAAGUGACAGCUAACUAUGUGCCAGCAGCUGCGGUAAAACAUAGGUCACGAGCAUUAUCCGGAUUUAUUGGGCGUAAAGGAAGCGUAGGCGGACAAAUUGAUCUAUUGUUAAAGGCACUUGCUCAACGAGUUGUUUGUGAUAGAUAUCGUUUGUCUAGAAUUAGUUAGGAGAUACUGGAAUUCAAUGUGUAGCGGUGGAAUGCGUAGAUAUAUUGAGGAACACCAGAGGCUAAGGCGAGUAUCUAGGACAUAAUUGACGCUGAGGCUUGAAAGCGUGGGGAGCAAAUGGGAUUAGAUACCCCAGUAGUCCACGCCGUAAACGAUGGGUAUUAGGUAUUUGGUCUAGGACUGAGUGCUGUAGCUAACGCGUUAAAUACCCCGCCUGGGUAGUAUAUAUGCAAAUAUGAAACUCAAAGAAAUUGACGGGGACCUGAACAAGGGUGGGAGCACG